AUGUCCCUCAGAUUUCAUCAUGUAUGGUUCCUAUUUCUGAAGCUGCAAGCUCGGUUGAAGAGGACAACCUUCCACGAUAGGAGGACUGGUGUUCAGUCAAAUGGUAUACCAGUAGCAGUACUUCCCUGAAAAUUUCAAAAUUUCCAAACAAGCUCUCAAGAUCAGGUAGCUUGAUUU
This 177-nucleotide small RNA is filed under the name Microtus ochrogaster (prairie vole). RNAcentral describes it as "7SK RNA (ENSMOCG00000010552.1)". It matches the Rfam family "7SK RNA", at positions 83 to 331 of the family's 331-position model. From Rfam's summary of the family: 7SK was discovered as an abundant small nuclear RNA in the mid-70s but a possible function has only recently been suggested. The record is from RNAcentral. Lineage: Eukaryota; Metazoa; Chordata; Mammalia; Rodentia; Cricetidae.